Molecule: long non-coding RNA, 394 nt
Organism: Alligator sinensis (Chinese alligator)
Lineage: Eukaryota; Metazoa; Chordata; Crocodylia; Alligatoridae
Exons: 3
Source: RefSeq, a predicted model, not a curated record
CUAAUCUGCACUUCUGGUUAUGAUUUUGGUUCCUUGCUUGUGAUUCUAGUUUGACCUUCAGCUGUGGUUUUUGGCUUCUGAUCCCAGAGAACCUGGUUUAACAGAUGAUAUUGAAAAUACCUUCUGCUCUGCCUGAGAAGCUAGAGUGUGGGCAAGCGAGGCCUACAACCCAGCAUGAAGAGAGACCUAGAGCAUCUAUUUGAAAACACACUCCAAUGAAGAGAAGAUGUAUUUAUUUUGCAGUAGAAGUAAGACUCUGAAGGACAAUUAGGAAAGUAGCAGAACAAAACCAGAAGGGAAUUGGUGAAUAUAAUAUUAACGAUUCUAAGUGGAAUGAUUUCAGGUUAUUUCUGGCUGAUUACAAGUUAUCUAUUCUUUCCCACGGUUUGGAAAA